Molecule: ribosomal RNA, 497 nt
Filed under: uncultured bacterium
Lineage: Bacteria
Description: partial 16S ribosomal RNA
Rfam family: Bacterial small subunit ribosomal RNA
Source: RNAcentral
GAUGAACGCUGGCGGCGUGCCUAAUACAUGCAAGUCGAGCGAACAGACGAGGAGCUUGCUCCUCUGACGUUAGCGGCGGACGGGUGAGUAACACGUGGAUAACCUACCUAUAAGACUGGGAUAACUUCGGGAAACCGGAGCUAAUACCGGAUAAUAUAUUGAACCGCAUGGUUCAAUAGUGAAAGACGGUUUUGCUGUCACUUAUAGAUGGAUCCGCGCCGCAUUAGCUAGUUGGUAAGGUAACGGCUUACCAAGGCAACGAUGCGUAGCCGACCUGAUAGGGGGAUCGGCCACACUGGAACUGAGACACGGUCCAGACUCCUACGGGAGGCAGCAGUAGGGAAUCUUCCGCAAUGGGCGAAAGCCUGACGGAGCAACGCCGCGUGAGUGAUGAAGGUCUUCGGAUCGUAAAACUCUGUUAUUAGGGAAGAACAAAUGUGUAAGUAACUAUGCACGUCUUGACGGUACCUAAUCAGAAAGCCACGGCUAACUACGUG